AUUGAACGCUGGCGGCAUGCCUUACACAUGCAAGUCGAACGGCAGCACGGGAGCAAUCCUGGUGGCGAGUGGCGAACGGGUGGGUAAUAUAUCGGAACGUGCCCAGUCGUGGGGAUAACGUAGCGAAAGCUACGCUAAUACCGCAUACGAUCUAUGGAUGAAAGCGGGGGAGUCGCAAGACCUCGCGCGAUUGGAGCGGCCGAUAUCAGAUUAGGUAGUUGGUGAGGUAAAGGCUCACCAAGCCGACGAUCUGUAGCUGGUCUGAGAGGACGACCAGCCACACUGGGACUGAGACACGGCCCAGACUCCUACGGGAGGCAGCAGUGGGGAAUUUUGGACAAUGGGCGCAAGCCUGAUCCAGCAAUGCCGCGUGCAGGAUGAAGGCCUUCGGUUGGUAACUAGCUUUGUUACGGUAACGAACGGUAGAGCUCUAAUACAGUUUGUCUAAUGACGGUACCGUAAG
Molecule: ribosomal RNA, 463 nt
Filed under: uncultured bacterium
Lineage: Bacteria
Description: bacterial SSU rRNA
Rfam family: Bacterial small subunit ribosomal RNA
Source: RNAcentral